AGAAUCAACGCUGGCGGCGUGCCUAACACAUGCAAGUCGAACGAGAAAGUGGAGCAAUCCAUGAGUAAAGUGGCGCACGGGUGAGUAACACGUGACUAACCUACCCUUGAGUGGGGGAUAACCUAGAGAAAUCUGGGCUAAUACCGCAUAAUACCUUCGGGUCAAAGGAGCAAUUCGCUUAAGGAGGGGGUCGCGGCCGAUUAGUUAGUUGGCGGGGUAAUGGCCCACCAAGACUGUGAUCGGUAUCCGGCCUGAGAGGGCGCACGGACACACUGGAACUGAAACACGGUCCAGACUCCUACGGGAGGCAGCAGUGGGGAAUUUGCGCAAUGGGGGAAACCCUGACGCAGCAACGCCGCGUGGAGGAUGAAGCCCCGUUGGGGCCGUAAACUCCUUUCGAUCGGGAAGAUAAUGACGGUACCGAGAGAAGAAGCCCCGGCUAACUUCGUGCCAGCAGCCGC
RNAcentral lists this ribosomal RNA (461 nucleotides) under uncultured bacterium. Its description in RNAcentral is "SSU rRNA". It matches the Rfam family "Bacterial small subunit ribosomal RNA", at positions 26 to 518 of the family's 1533-position model. The record is from RNAcentral.